UAACGCGUGGGUAACCUGCCUCAUACNGGGGGAUAACAGUUAGAAAUGACUGCUAAUACCGCAUAAGCACACAGUACCGCAUGGUACAGAGUGAAAAACUCCGGUGGUAUGAGAUGGACCUGCGUCUGAUUAGCUGGUUGGCGGGGUAACGGCCCACCAAGGCGACGAUCAGUAGCCGACCUGAGAGGGUGACCGGCCACAUUGGGACUGAGACACGGCCCAAACUCCUACGGGAGGCAGCAGUGGGGAAUAUUGCACAAUGGGGGAAACCCUGAUGCAGCAACGCCGCGUGAGUGAAGAAGUAUUUCGGUAUGUAAAGCUCUAUCAGCAGGGAAGAAAGUGACGGUACCUGACUAAGAAGCCCCGGCUAACUACGUGCCAGCAGCCGCGGUAAUACGUAGGGGGCAAGCGUUAUCCGGAUUUACUGGGUGUAAAGGGAGCGUAGACGGCACAGCAAGUCUGAAGUGAAAUCCCCGGGCUCAACCCGGGAACUGCUUUGGAAACUGUUGGGCUGGAGUGCUGGAGAGGCAAGCGGAAUUCCUAGUGUAGCGGUGAAAUGCGUAGAUAUUAGGAGGAACACCAGUGGCGAAGGCGGCUUGCUGGACAGUAACUGACGUUGAGGCUCGAAAGCGUGGGGAGCAAACAGGAUUAGAUACCCUGGUAGUCCACGCCGUAAACGAUGCAUACUAGGUGU
RNAcentral lists this ribosomal RNA (694 nucleotides) under uncultured bacterium. Its description in RNAcentral is "bacterial SSU rRNA". It matches the Rfam family "Bacterial small subunit ribosomal RNA", at positions 111 to 823 of the family's 1533-position model. The record is from RNAcentral.